AUGGGUUCUAGAUUUCCAUCACAUCAGCUGAGCAGUGGCCUUUAUGUAUCUGGCCGACCUGAGCAACCUAAGGAGAAGGCCCCGACCUUUGGAUCCAAUGUGAUGCCAUACACUGGUGGUGACACCAAGAAAUCUGGGGAGCUUGGGAAGAUGUUUGAGCUCCAUGCUGAAAGAUCUAGAAAAUCUGGUCCUCUAGGCAGUGCGCCUUCGAGAAAUCCUUCAUUUGGCGGUGCUGCUUCCAACUCUGGACCUGUGUCUAAUGCUGGUGGUCGGUCAAACUACUCUGGUUCUCUUUCAUCUUCAGUUCCUGGCGCCGGAGGAUCAGCAAGAGCAAAAUCUAACUCCGGACCACUCAAUAAGCAUGGAGAACCAGUAAAGAGGUCAUCUGGUCCCCAGUCUGGAGGUGUGACCCCAAUGGCUCGCCAGAAUUCCGGCCCUCUCCCUCCAAUGCUUCCUACGACUGGGCUUAUCACAUCUGGCCCUGUUACUUCUGGACCACUGAAUUCGUCUGGUGCCCCAAGAAGGAAAGUAUCUGGAUCUCUUGAUCCUGCUGCAUCGAUGAAGGCACGGGCCACAUCACUUGCUCACAACCAGGCUGUUACUACACUCACCAGUGAAGGUGGUUUCUCAGUUAUGGGAAGCAUUUCAAAGUGGGUAUUCUGGCUAGUGAUCACACUCUUGCUGUUCGGGUUUGCAGUAGGUCUCUUCAUUCUUAUUGCUGUUCACAAUGCGAUUGUGCUGAUAGUUGUUGUUGCAAUGAUUGGUUCUGUUGCUGCACUUGUGUCUUGGAAUGUUUGGCGGGGCAGGAGAGGCGUGCUCAGGUUUGUCAAUAGCUGUCCUGAUACUGAUCUCAGAACUGCAAAGGAUGGAGAGUAUGUGAAGGUUACAGGGGUUGUUACGUGUGGAAAUUUCCCCCUGGAGUCCUCAUUUCAAAGGAUUCCGAGAUGUGUGUACACUUCAACUAGGCUGUAUGAGUAUAGGGGCUGGGAUUCAAAAACUGCAAACCCCAAGCAUCGCCGGUUUACCUGGGGAUUACGGACAGCAGAGCGACAUGCGGUCGAUUUCUACAUUUCAGAUUUUCAGUCUGGGCUUCGAGCAUUGGUGAGAACAGGAAGCGGUGCACGGGUGACACCAUAUGUCGAUGAAUCGGUAGUAAUUGACGUCAAUCCUGAGAACAAGGACAUGUCUCCUGAAUUUCUAAGAUGGCUACGAGAAAGGAAUCUCUCAAGUGAUGGUCGGAAAAUGCGCCUAAAAGAAGGAUACAUCAAGGAAGGCAGCACUGUGAGUGUGAUGGGGGUCGUUCAAAAGAAUGAGAGCGUCUUGAUGAUAGUACCUCCAUCAGAGCCCAUCUCAUCUGGUUGCCAGUGGGGGAGUUGUUUCUUCCCAGCAAACCUUGAAGGACUAGUCGUGAGAUGUGAAGAUACUUCAGACAUGGAUGUCAUACCAGUAUAG
This 1452-nucleotide ribosomal RNA is filed under the name Triticum aestivum (bread wheat). RNAcentral's name for it is "partial small subunit ribosomal RNA". The record is from RNAcentral. Lineage: Eukaryota; Viridiplantae; Streptophyta; Magnoliopsida; Poales; Poaceae.